UGGGAGGGAGCCCUCCCCUGAUCUUUCUCAUCCAGUACGUAGAGAGGGGGCAAGUAAUUCAGUUGAUCAUCUUCUUCCCAAUCUCUCUGAAUGUCAGUGAGAUUGCUCUAUGAAAAGUUCCUGUCCCUCUCAAUUUCAUUUCUUCUUCCAAGAAUUCAAGCAAAGCCCACAACUCUUGCUUGAAUUCUCAAUCCCAAUAGAAUACAAAGGGUUCUCAAGUGGUGGUGUCUUGGUUUGGAGUUCAAGAUCUAGAUCGAAGCUUUUGUGAUCGUGAAUCGAGAGAAUUACGCGAAGAAGAAUCUUUCAGUUACGUGGAUUGUCGCCGUUCAGACUGACGCCGUCGAACUCGAACCAGUCGCCGGAUCUGGUUCUCACGUCGUUGCCUCAUCGCGCCAAUGAUCCGAAGCCACCAAGUCCGUGUCUCAUCUUCUCCGUGUGGCUUCAAGGCUCGACGCCGUCGACCUCCAAUGCUAGCUGGAGUCUCCAGCCGCGCCGCUUAUUUUCUCUGUUUCGACUUCAGAUGAUCAACCAGUCGCCGUCGUUCACUUUUUCUCUCUGUUUUCCGCCGGCUGUGGGUUGUUUUCAGUGUGGGUUUUGUUCAGCGCCGCCAGUUUCGGCUUCUGCCAUCAUCGCUGUCUUGGUUGUCAGAAUCAACCAGUUCUAUCGGUUGGGAAAAGGACAAGAAUUGACUAGCGAGGGACAGAUGAAACUCGUGAUAGAGCCAUACGGGGACAAUAGAUAAAGCUUCCGUGCAGUUCAUAUUUUUUAAGUUACUUAAUUGUUUGAAAUUUCAGUUUUUCGUCAGACGGAAUAAUUUACGGUUUUGGUUUGAACAUUAUCUUUGUCAAUUU
Benincasa hispida (wax gourd) is the source of this 851-nucleotide non-coding RNA. Lineage: Eukaryota; Viridiplantae; Streptophyta; Magnoliopsida; Cucurbitales; Cucurbitaceae. The record is from RefSeq and is a predicted model, not a curated record.